GAAGAAAUAAAGUUGAUAGAUCAGUUAGUUGA
This 32-nucleotide small RNA is filed under the name Arabidopsis thaliana (thale cress). The record is from RNAcentral. Lineage: Eukaryota; Viridiplantae; Streptophyta; Magnoliopsida; Brassicales; Brassicaceae.